This is a long non-coding RNA of Microcebus murinus (gray mouse lemur), 1505 nucleotides long. RefSeq lists it as uncharacterized. Lineage: Eukaryota; Metazoa; Chordata; Mammalia; Primates; Cheirogaleidae. The record is from RefSeq and is a predicted model, not a curated record.
CAGUCCCCCCAGGUGUCCUCAUAACUGCUCCCUUCACGGAUACCCAGACGGCCCACAAGGGCAGCUCCCUGGAAGCAAACGUGGCCUGAAGCUCCUCAGGCUCCCCAGCCUCCGGGAAGGAGGGGCCGUCUGAGCGGGAAGCGGGGAGCCUGGGCAUCGGCUCCACAGCUGGGGGAGCUCGAAUCCCAGGUGGGCCACCUGGGACAAGUUAGGUAAUGUCCCUUAGCCUCCAUUUCACCAUCUGUAGAAAAAUCGUGAUAAAAAUUGUCUACCACCUUGUUGGGUGAUAAGAAUUUGACAAGACACUCAAUGGAAAAUGUUUAGCACAGCACUGGGCACGCUGAGAGCACACGGAAGCAGACCAUGGCACUAUUAUCAUCUAUGACAACCUUUUGCCUCCAGAACUCUAGGCACCAAGUUAGGUGCAGGGGGGUGAAACAGUCUGGGGGAGAAGACCCUUAAGUGACCCCCAGAGGGGCCCGAGCUCUCCCGAAGGCAGGAGUCCCUGGCCCGAGGGAGAAUGACAGGGCAAACGGUUGACUGUCAGGCAGCCGUGUGGCCCCCAACAAAGGGCCCCCCUGACAUUCCUGUUGGGCUUUAACAGGGGGUGGCCAGUGAGUUCCUGGAAUGUCCAAGAAAAACAAACUGGUUAUUCUGAGUGAAAUUGCAGCCUGGCUUCGGCGGGCUGAGUCUGCUUUAAAUUAAACACAGCAUUUCUGAGAUUCUUUUCAUCUCCUUGCCACUGUGGGUUAGUGGAGACAUUACCUCACCUCACCUUCCGCUAUGAGGUGGGGAAGCCAACAGGGCGUGGGGCUGGGUGUGGGGUCGGGAGGGGGGCCGAGAGCCCACUGGGGCUCCCGGGGUCCCUCCUCACUCCAAGAGCCCAACCUCCCACUGGGGCUGGAGUGGUGGAUCCGUGGGGACGAGGGCAGACAGGAGGUGCACCAGCGUGCAGUCACCCCUGCCUGUCCUUGGUGUUUAGCUAAGGAGUUACAGCAUUUUCAAACAUACUGCUUUCCUAGGAGCACUUGAGAAAACUGGACUGCAGUCUUACAAGUCCAAGGGGCAAGGAUGCCCACCUUCCCGGGUUGUUACAUGGGUUAAAUGAAGUUGCUCAAGGUUCUUCUGUCUCUCCAGUGGCUGAGUCAUAACUGUGAACCGCCAUCGCUGCCCUGCUGGGGCUCUGCCUGCUAUAACCAGAUCUGGGGGAAGACAGCUCGUCUCCUUGCUCCACCUUCCAGGCUGGCUCUUGUAAGAAACAGAAGAAGAGCUAGAAGAACUUCUAGGUUUGAAAUCGGAUCAGAAAUAAGAUAGCCAGAACUGAAAAGACACCCAGAAUUCCGCCAGGAAUGAAAAAUAAUAAAUGUGCACCAGGUGCAGUUACUUCUUGUGUAAGAAACUCUCUAUUUUCUUGGGAGAAUGUAACCACAUGAAAGAGUUGGAAACAUGCCACCGAUUUGGUCAGGGCCACUCUCUUUCUUCGGACACAGCUGCCUGAAUGAAAG